Molecule: long non-coding RNA, 1447 nt
Organism: Thunnus maccoyii (southern bluefin tuna)
Lineage: Eukaryota; Metazoa; Chordata; Actinopteri; Scombriformes; Scombridae
Exons: 4
Source: RefSeq, a predicted model, not a curated record
UCCUCUCUACCAGCGGUACCUGCAGGCAGUGAAUCACAUCAGCAGCAGAGGGAGGAGGACAGAGGACGGGAGGAAAGACUGCCUGCGUAGAGAGCAGCUGUGCACAUGCCCUUUUGAAUCGGGUCGUGGUGACAGAUCGGUUGAAACUGUGCGUUGCGUUUGGAUCGUGUGUGUAGAUCGUGUUUCAUAGAUGAUCUGGGGGCUUGAGUAACAUCAGACAAACAUACAAAACUUAUGGAUCCAUGUUCAUGAUGAUUAUUCACGACAGAGAAGGUUGAGGUCCAUGCAAAAUUACAGGAGUUUCGCGGGAGAAACAACAAAACGGGAGAACGGCAGGAGACGUGUUGGCAGAAUUUCAGUGAUGGAUCCUGGGGGCUGUUGCAUCAUCUGUGGCAGCGACUGUCUGCAGAAAAGUUGGAUCUUUUGCACACUUGGAGGAAGCUCAUACAGUAUGUCUCUACUGUGUUGCAGAAUUUGGAAAGAGAUUGACAGAAGAAGGGAUGGAGGGAAGAGUAUGCAGGUUAAAGCACUGAGAAAGACCAACAGCUGCUCUGCGUCUGGAGGAAGAUGUGAUGAGUGAGGGGGAGGAUUUCACAUUUCAACUCCUACCUCAAAGAGAAAGAAAAGGAUGCCGAGAAUCACCUUGAAGAAAAAAAAACUAUACAGGAGCUUCAGAAGACGUUCCAGUUGUCACAGUGCAAUACUCGGCAGAAAUGAUGCAGUUUGUCAUGUUAUGUUAUUUGUUGUGUAAUGAAUUAGUGGCCGUAUGAAAGCUCUUACACUGAAUUGAUUCUAAAAGCACAACACUAAAACCCUGCUGAAAGUGUGACUUUGACUGUGAUUAAUCCACAAACAAAACAGAAUGAAAGGCAGACAGACAGAAGAAGAAGAAGACAAAGAGCAGGACAAGACAGCGCAUAAAAGUACAGAGGAAGAAGAAAAGAAGAGGUGAAUGUAAAUUAAAUAUUACAAUUCUGUCUAGUUUUUCUUUUGCUGCUGACAUUUAUGCUCGCAGCUGUCCCUUCUUUUGUGUCAUCAGACUGUAGUCGAUGUGAUAUAUUUUAAAGGUCUCUGGUCAGCUCACUCCACUUACUCUCUGUCUCAGUGACAAAAUUAGUGAGACAGCGAGGGUUUCAGCAUGAUUUAGCUUGAGGCCAGUGAGGGCUCAUGUCGGUCCGACACCCUCGUAACUUAACGAUCUAUAAAACCAAUUGAUGAACUUUUGAAGCGGCGAACAGAGAAUUCACGGCUGGAUUGGCCAGAAGCAUUAAGUAACUACAAUGACAUUUUAUAAUGUAUUCAAGUGUAUAAAUCUGAGGAAAGUAUGUCAAAUUCACUUACACUGUCAGUACUUGAAGUAAUAAUCCAUGAUAGCUUCAUAUAAAUCAAAUCAUGUUUGUAAAACCUCUUUAAAUGAUUGAUACGGCACGAUUUUGACUCUGCAUUA